AUUGAACGCUGGCGGCAUGCCUUACACAUGCAAGUCGAACGGCAGCACGGGAGCAAUCCUGGUGGCGAGUGGCGAACGGGUGAGUAAUGCAUCGGAACGUGCCAUUGAGUGGGGGAUAACGUAGCGAAAGUUACGCUAAUACCGCAUAUUCUGUGCGCAGGAAAGCAGGGGAUCGCAAGACCUUGCGCUCUUUGAGCGGCCGAUGUCAGAUUAGCUAGUUGGUGGGGUAAAGGCUCACCAAGGCGACGAUCUGUAGUUGGUCUGAGAGGACGACCAGCCACACUGGGACUGAGACACGGCCCAGACUCCUACGGGAGGCAGCAGUGGGGAAUUUUGGACAAUGGGCGCAAGCCUGAUCCAGCAAUGCCGCGUGCAGGAAGAAGG
Molecule: ribosomal RNA, 384 nt
Filed under: uncultured bacterium
Lineage: Bacteria
Description: bacterial SSU rRNA
Rfam family: Bacterial small subunit ribosomal RNA
Source: RNAcentral